GAUGAACGCUGGCGGCGUGCCUAAUACAUGCAAGUCGAGCGAACGGACGAGAAGCUUGCUUCUCUGAUGUUAGCGGCGGACGGGUGAGUAACACGUGGAUAACCUACCUAUCAGACUGGGAUAACUUCGGGAAACCGGCGCUAAUACCGGAUAAUAUUUUGAACCGCAUGGUUCAAAAGUGAAAGACGGUCUUGCUGUCACUUCUCGAUGGAUCCGCGCUGCAUUAGCUAGUUGGUAAGGUAACGGCUUACCAAGGCAACGAUGCAUAGCCGACCUGUGAGGGUGAUAGGCCGCACUGGAGCGGAGACACGGACCAGGCUCCUACGGGAGGCAGCAGUAGGGUAUCUUCCGCAAUAGUCGAAAGCCUUACGGAGCAACGCCGCGUGAGAUAUGAAGGUCUUCGGUUCGUAAAACUCUGUUAUGAGGGAAGAACAGAUGUGUAAGUAACUGUGGACAUCGUGACGGUACCUAGUCAGAAAGCCACGGCUAACUACGUG
This 497-nucleotide ribosomal RNA is filed under the name uncultured bacterium. Its description in RNAcentral is "partial 16S ribosomal RNA". It matches the Rfam family "Bacterial small subunit ribosomal RNA", at positions 28 to 507 of the family's 1533-position model. The record is from RNAcentral.